This is a long non-coding RNA of Hibiscus syriacus, 280 nucleotides long. RefSeq lists it as uncharacterized. The record is from RefSeq and is a predicted model, not a curated record. NCBI's taxonomy places the organism in Eukaryota, Viridiplantae, Streptophyta, Magnoliopsida, Malvales, Malvaceae. The transcript is spliced from 2 exons.
ACAAACAAUCACUAUUACAAACAUCAGACAUGAUAAAAUUAAAGGAAGAGAGAAGAACAAUGCCAGCCAUUGUAUAUGCCACGCAUAUUAUCUCAAAACUAUUAGAUAGAUAUGAGAUCAAAACAGAAAACACCCCUACUGGCCUUAUGAAAGAAAUUUUACAAAAUUUAUUUUUAAAAAAAAAUUGAAGUCCCAUUAAAUUUGGUUGUCAUAUGUCCAGUACAGCUUAGCUUCAAAAACAUAAUCAGAAUAAAAGCUAAGUGAAGAAAAACCAGACUAA